This 66-nucleotide transfer RNA is filed under the name Sphaerodactylus elegans. RNAcentral describes it as "tRNA-Tyr". Lineage: Eukaryota; Metazoa; Chordata; Lepidosauria; Squamata; Sphaerodactylidae. The record is from RNAcentral.
GGUAAUAUGGCUGAGUAGGCAGCGAGCUGUAAAUUCGCGCACAGAGGGCAAGGCCUCUUGUUACCA